GAUGAACGCUGGCGGCGUGCCUAAUACAUGCAAGUCGAGCGAACAGACGAGGAGCUUGCUCCUCUGACGUUAGCGGCGGACGGGUGAGUAACACGUGGAUAACCUACCUAUAAGACUGGGAUAACUUCGGGAAACCGGAGCUAAUACCGGAUAAUAUAUUGAACCGCAUGGUUCAAUAGUGAAAGACGGUUUUGCUGUCACUUAUAGAUGGAUCCGCGCCGCAUUAGCUAGUUGGUAAGGUAACGGCUUACCAAGGCAACGAUGCGUAGCCGACCUGAGAGGGUGAUCGGCCACACUGGAACUGAGACACGGUCCAGACUCCUACGGGAGGCAGCAGUAGGGAAUCUUCCGAAAUGGGCGAAAGCCUGACGGAGCAACGCCGCGUGAAUGAUGAAGGUCUUCGGAUCGUAAAACUCUGUUAUUAGGGAAGAACAAAUGUGUAAGUAACUAUGCACGUCUUGACGGUACCUAAUCAGAAAGCCACGGCUAACUACGUG
This 497-nucleotide ribosomal RNA is filed under the name uncultured bacterium. Its description in RNAcentral is "partial 16S ribosomal RNA". It matches the Rfam family "Bacterial small subunit ribosomal RNA", at positions 28 to 507 of the family's 1533-position model. The record is from RNAcentral.